Molecule: transfer RNA, 73 nt
Filed under: Ailuropoda melanoleuca (giant panda)
Lineage: Eukaryota; Metazoa; Chordata; Mammalia; Carnivora; Ursidae
Rfam family: tRNA
About the family: Transfer RNA (tRNA) molecules are approximately 80 nucleotides in length. Their secondary structure includes four short double-helical elements and three loops (D, anti-codon, and T loops).
Source: Rfam by way of RNAcentral
ACCUGGCUGGCUCAGUUGGUAGAGUAUGUGACUCUUGAUCUCAGGGUUGUGAGUUCGAGCCCCAUGUUGGGUG